Pyrus x bretschneideri (Chinese white pear) is the source of this 1399-nucleotide RNA transcript. RefSeq lists it as uncharacterized. Lineage: Eukaryota; Viridiplantae; Streptophyta; Magnoliopsida; Rosales; Rosaceae. The transcript has 7 exons. The record is from RefSeq and is a predicted model, not a curated record.
UAAAAUGCGAACAUUAGAAAGCACCAAAAACAGAAACAAAAAUAAAUAGAAAAAUCUCCCGCCAUCCCCAUAAACAUUUAUAAACCCUCGAAAAAUCAAGAAUCUGGUAUCAAAUUUUUUGAUUUGGGGUCGAGAAAUGGAUCUGACGGUGGUAGAUCUGAGCGCGUACUUGGAAUCGGAAGAGGGCGGAGUGGAGGAGUUGUGCGGCGAGGUGAGUCGGAGUCUGAGAGAAACGGGAGCUUUGUUGGUCAAGGAUCCCAGAUGUACGGCGGAUGACAACGAUCGCUUCCUUGAUAUGAUGGAGAGGUACUUUGACAGUCCGCGGAGUUCAAGCGACUCCAGGAGAGGCCCCAAUUGCAUUACCAGGUUGGCGUGACACCGGAAGGCGUGGAAGUCCCCAGAAGCCUUGUUGAUGAAGAAAUGCAGGAGAAAUUGAAAGAAAUGCCCAAAGAGUUCCAGCCAUCCAUCCCCAAAGGGGCAGAUCGCAAAUGGCGAUACAUGUGGAGGGUGGGUCCUCGACCCUCGAAAACCCACUUUCAGGAACUUAAUGCAGAGCCAGUCGUACCCGAGGGGUUUCCUGAAUGGAAAGAUACCAUGGAUUCAUGGGGUUACAAGAUGAUUUCCGCAAUAGAGGCUGUUGCUGAAAUGGCUGCCAUUGGAUUUGGCUUGCCAAAGGAUGCAUUCACUUCUCUUAUGAAGCGGGGGCCACACCUUCUAGCUCCAACAGGAAGUGACCUUCGGCGUUAUGGCCAAGAAGGUACUGUGUUUGCAGGAUAUCACUAUGACCUGAACUUUCUAACUAUUCAUGGCAGAAGUAGAUUUCCCGGUCUGAACAUUUGGUUAAAAAAUGGGCAAAAAGUUGAAGUCAAGGUUCCUGUAGGAUGUCUUCUCAUUCAGACCGGGAAGCAGAUAGAAUGGUUGACUGCAGGUGAUUGCAUAGCUGGAAUGCAUGAAGUUAUCGUAACAAACAGGACGAUUGAUGCAAUCAAACUUGCAACAGAGCAAAGUCGCUUACUAUGGAGAGUAUCUUCAACAUUGUUUGCACACGUAGCAUCUGAUGCUGUGUUGAAGCCCUUAGGUCACUUUGCAGAAUCCCCGCUCGCAAGUAAAUACCCGCCCAUUUAUGCAGGAGAGUUUGUUGAACAAGAGCUUGCAGUAAUCAAUCUCAAAGGCAACAAAGAAUAAGUUUGGUAACUUGUUACAUGUGAAGAUCAUAACAUAUUAUGUCAACGAUCAGAAUGGCAUUAUGAAGAGGCGUUUGGGGAUGAUAUGAAUUGUAAUAAAGAAGGUUGGGAUGAUAGAAACUGCGGCCAAUUGUAUCGUGUCAUUAUUUAUCGUUGUAUCGUUUACUGACAUUCCUUUGUUCCUCGAGCAAUUUGAGUUUUACCAUUUCAUUGCA